This 406-nucleotide ribosomal RNA is filed under the name uncultured bacterium. RNAcentral's name for it is "partial 16S ribosomal RNA". It matches the Rfam family "Bacterial small subunit ribosomal RNA", at positions 30 to 526 of the family's 1533-position model. The record is from RNAcentral.
AUUGAACGCUGGCGGCAGGCCUAACACAUGCAAGUCGAGCGAGCGGCGGACGGGUGAGUAAUGUCUGGGGAUCUGCCCGAUAGCGGGGGCUAACUACUGGCAACGGUGGCUAAUACCGCAUACUAUCUGAUGCGCCCAUAUGGGAUUAACUAGUUGGUGGGGUAAAGGCUCACCUAGGCGACGAUCUCUAGCUGGUCUGAGAGGAUGAUCAGCCAAACUGGCACUGAGACACGGCCCAGACGCCUACGGGAGGAAGCAGUGGAGAAUAUUGCACAAUGGGCGCAAGCCUGAUGCAGCCAUGCCGCGUGUAUGAAGAAGGCCUUAGGGUUGUAAAGUACUUUCAGCGGGGAGGCGUUACCCGCAGAAGAAGCACCGGCUAACUACGUGCCAGCAGCCGCGGUAAUAC